Long non-coding RNA from Peromyscus maniculatus bairdii (prairie deer mouse), 702 nucleotides. RefSeq lists it as uncharacterized. NCBI's taxonomy places the organism in Eukaryota, Metazoa, Chordata, Mammalia, Rodentia, Cricetidae. The record is from RefSeq and is a predicted model, not a curated record.
GGACCAACUCAUGAGCAGGAAGAGAUGGACCAGGGAGCCUGACGGUUGUCACUCUGAAGAAGCAUCAGGUCACCAAAGAACCCCAGCUACCUGCUCAUCAUCACAUCCCAAAUGGCUGAGAGGUGCUGAGCAUGCCCUGCAUUUGUCUAACAGGAGUGAUUAUAAACUAAAUACCGCAGAGGCCACAUUCAGGGCUUGUGCCAGCCAGCUACUCGAGAUGCUCCGGGAGGGGAGUCCCUGUAACCCACGAGCUGGAGGACAGCAUGAUGACAUAGGAAGGCCCUGUCUCAAGGAAGUGAAGAGGUGUGGCUGGGAUGCAUGGGGACUGUCCAUCCCAGAGACUCCAGUGCAGAUAUGAACUAUGAUCUCUAGUUGGUCAGAAAAGAGGAGCUCUCAAAGUCGCCACAAGUUACAGUAUUGUUUUUCUGAGCCCCAACACUUCUGCCCUUGAACAAGGUCCUUUUCUACAGUUCUUCUGGAUCUCAGAUGUUCUGAAUCUCAUGAGAUCGUUAUUUCCAUCACUGAAAUGGCAGACAUUGGUACUGAGCCCUUUGAGAGAUGUUUUACUCAAAUGCUUAGACUCUGACCCUGACACCUGCCCGUGAGUUGAGUGUGUAAACAAUAUGCUCAUUGUUUGGUAACCUGCUCAUUUCUCCUUGACAGCUCCUGUGAACAUUUUCUCUAUGUUACUUAGUAUAUGAA